ACAUCCAGAGAACUUAGCAGAGAUGCUUUGGUGCCUUCGGGGAACUCUGAGACAGGUGCUGCAUGGCUGUCGUCAGCUCGUGUUGUGAAAUGUUGGGUUAAGUCCCGCAACGAGCGCAACCCUUAUCCUUUGUUGCCAGCGGUUCGGCCGGGAACUCAAAGGAGACUGCCGGUGAUAAACCGGAGGAAGGUGGGGAUGACGUCAAGUCAUCAUGGCCCUUACGGCCAGGGCUACACACGUGCUACAAUGGCGCAUACAAAGAGAAGCGACCUCGCGAGAGCAAGCGGACCUCAUAAAGUGCGUCGUAGUCCGGAUUGGAGUCUGCAACUCGACUCCAUGAAGUCGGAAUCGCUAGUAAUCGUAGAUCAGAAUGCUACGGUGAAUACGUUCCCGGGCCUUGUACACACCGCCCGUCACACCAUGGGAGUGGGUUGCAAAAGAAGUAGGUAGCUUAACCUUCGGGAGGGCGCUUACCACUUUGUGAUUCAUGACUGGGGUGAAGUCGUAACAAGGUAAGCGUAGCGAG
This 526-nucleotide ribosomal RNA is filed under the name uncultured bacterium. Its description in RNAcentral is "bacterial SSU rRNA". It matches the Rfam family "Bacterial small subunit ribosomal RNA", at positions 984 to 1509 of the family's 1533-position model. The record is from RNAcentral.